AGAGUUUGAUCCUGGCUCAGAAUGAACGCUGGCGGCGUGCUUAACACAUGCAAGUCGAACGAGAACGGGAUUGCUUGCAAUCCUUAGUAGAGUGGCGCACGGGUGAGUAACACGUAGAUAAUCUACCUUCAAGCCCGGGAUAACUAUUCGAAAGGAUAGCUAAUACCGGAUAAAGUUGCGAUACACAGGUAUUGUAAUGAAAGAUUGCCUCUCCUUGGAAGCAAUUGUUUGGGGAUGAGUCUGCGGACCAUUAGUUUGUUGGUGGGGUAAAGGCCUACCAAGACUGCGAUGGUUAGCUGGUCUGAGAGGAUGAUCAGUCACACUGGAACUGGAACACGGUCCAGACUCCUACGGGAGGCAGCAGUGAGGAAUUUUGCGCAAUGGGGGCAACCCUGACGCAGCAACGCCGCGUGAGUGAAGAAGGCCUUUGGGUCGUAAAGCUCUGUCAACUGGGAAGAAAUUAUUCAUCAUUAAUAGUGAUGUUUAUUGACGGUACCAGUGGAGGAAGCGCCGGCUAACUCCGUGCCAGCAGCCGCGGUAACACGGGGGGCGCAAGCGUUAUUCGGAAUUAUUGGGCGUAAAGGGCGCGCAGGCGGUCUUGUCGGUCAGAUGUGAAAGCCCGGGGCUCAACCCUGGAAGUGCAUUUGAAACAGCAAGACUUGAAUACGGGAGAGGAGAGAGGAAUUCCUGGUGUAGAGGUGAAAUUCGUAGAUAUCAGGAGGAACACCGAUGGCGAAGGCAUCUCUCUGGACCGAUAUUGACGCUGAGGCGCGAAGGCGUGGGUAGCGAACAGGAUUAGAUACCCUGGUAGUCCACGCAGUAAACGUUGUACACUCGGUGUGCCGGAUAUUAAAAUCUGGUGUGCCUAAGCUAACGCGUUAAGUGUACCGCCUGGGGAGUACGUGUCGCAAGACUAAAACUCAAAGGAAUUGACGGGGGCCCGCACAAGCGGU
This 953-nucleotide ribosomal RNA is filed under the name uncultured bacterium. Its description in RNAcentral is "bacterial SSU rRNA". It matches the Rfam family "Bacterial small subunit ribosomal RNA", at positions 8 to 933 of the family's 1533-position model. The record is from RNAcentral.